Molecule: small RNA, 644 nt
Filed under: Porites compressa
Lineage: Eukaryota; Metazoa; Cnidaria; Anthozoa; Scleractinia; Poritidae
Description: eukaryotic LSU rRNA
Rfam family: 5.8S ribosomal RNA (bases 239-392)
Source: RNAcentral
GGUGAACCUGCGGAAGGAUCAUUACCGAUGUGAAAAAUCCAAGGUUAAACAUCAUUAACCAGUGUGAACUGUACAACAACUCUUUAGGGGUCGGCACAGGCGUGUGUCGUUAAAUGGCGGAUAGGUUCCUUCCGCCAGCCCCGCCAUUGUGUUUAUUAUAUCACUUUGAACGUUAAAGACUGAGAACUAUGUAUCAUGCAUUGAAUGUAUGAGAAAGAAGGGAAGAAAAAUGAGAGACAACUUUUGAUGGUGGAUCUCUUGGCUCACGUAUCGAUGAAGAACGCAGCCAGCUGCGAUAUGUAGUGUGAAUUGCAGAAUUCAGUGAAUCAUUGAAUCUUUGAACGCAAAUGGCGCUCUUGGGUUCUCCCAGGAGCAUGUCUGUCUGAGUGUCGGAUUUUAUCGAACGCACUCGUGAGUGCGGUAUUGAGGUGUCACGGCGUGUUAGCAAGCAAGCAUUAAAUCGCCGUGUCCCUUGAAGGACAGCAGCAUUGGACUCGCAUUCUCUACUGAAACUUGAGUGCGAAGGCUAAGGAUAAUAUUUUCCUUCGCCCAAACAUGCAAUAGCAGAAACAAAAUCCAAUCAAAGCGGUGACAGACAAUAAACAUCAAAUCUUGACCUCAGAUCAGGCAAGGCUACCCGCUGA